UACGUAGGGAGCAAGCGUUGUCCGGAAUCAUUGGGCGUAAAGCGCGCGUAGGUGGCUUCGUAAGUCCGUUGUGAAAGUCAAAGGCUCAACCUUUGAAAGCCGAUGGAUACUGCGGAGCUAGAGUACGGAAGAGGCGAGUGGAAUUCCUGGUGUAGCGGUGGAAUGCGCAGAUAUCAGGAGGAACACCGGUGGCGAAGGCGGGUCUCUGGGCCGAUAUCGACGCUGAGGAGCGAAAGCGUGGGGAGCAAACAGG
Molecule: ribosomal RNA, 253 nt
Filed under: uncultured bacterium
Lineage: Bacteria
Description: partial 16S ribosomal RNA
Rfam family: Bacterial small subunit ribosomal RNA
Source: RNAcentral